This 492-nucleotide ribosomal RNA is filed under the name uncultured bacterium. Its description in RNAcentral is "partial 16S ribosomal RNA". It matches the Rfam family "Bacterial small subunit ribosomal RNA", at positions 29 to 507 of the family's 1533-position model. The record is from RNAcentral.
AGUGAACGCUGGCGGUAGGCCUAACACAUGCAAGUCGAACGGCAGCACAGUAAGAGCUUGCUCUUACGGGUGGCGAGUGGCGGACGGGUGAGGAAUACAUCGGAAUCUACUUUUUCGUGGGGGAUAACGUAGGGAAACUUACGCUAAUACCGCAUACGACCUACGGGUGAAAGCAGGGGAUCUUCGGACCUUGCGCGAUUGAAUGAGCCGAUGUCGGAUUAGCUAGUUGGCGGGGUAAAGGCCCACCAAGGCGACGAUCCGUAGCUGGUCUGAGAGGAUGAUCAGCCACACUGGAACUGAGACACGGUCCAGACUCCUACGGGAGGCAGCAGUGGGGAAUAGUGGACAAUGGGCGCAAGCCUGAUCCAGCCAUACCGCGUGGGUGAAGAAGGCCUUCGGUUUGUAAAGACCUUUUGUUGGGAAAGAAAAGCAGCAGGUUAAUACCCCGCUGUUCUGACGGUACCCAAAGAAUAAGCACCGGCUAACUUCGUG